GUGUCUGUAACUCAGUUGGUAGAGUAACUGGCUGUUAACCAGUAAGUCGUAGGUUCGAGUCCUACUAGACACGCCA
This 76-nucleotide transfer RNA is filed under the name Bacillus cereus. RNAcentral's name for it is "tRNA-Asn". It matches the Rfam family "tRNA". From Rfam's summary of the family: Transfer RNA (tRNA) molecules are approximately 80 nucleotides in length. Lineage: Bacteria; Bacillati; Bacillota; Bacilli; Caryophanales; Bacillaceae. The record is from RNAcentral.